CCUACGGGAGGCAGCAGUGGGGAAUAUUGGACAAUGGGCGAAAGCCUGAUCCAGCAAUGCCGCGUGAGUGAUGAAGGCCUUAGGGUUGUAAAGCUCUUUUACCCGGGAUGAUAAUGACAGUACCGGGAGAAUAAGCUCCGGCUAACUCCGUGCCAGCAGCCGCGGUAAUACGGAGGGAGCUAGCGUUAUUCGGAAUUACUGGGCGUAAAGCGCACGUAGGCGGCUUUGUAAGUAAGAGGUGAAAGCCUGGUGCUCAACACCAGAACUGCCUUUUAGACUGCAUCGCUUGAAUCCAGGAGAGGUGAGUGGAAUUCCGAGUGUAGAGGUGAAAUUCGUAGAUAUUCGGAAGAACACCAGUGGCGAAGGCGGCUCACUGGACUGGUAUUGACGCUGAGGUGCGAAAGCGUGGGGAGCAAACAGGAUUAGAUGCCCUGGUAGUCCACGCCGUAAACGAUGAUAACUAGCUGUCGGGGCUCUUAGAGCUUCGGUGGCGCGAGCUACGCAUUAAGUUAUCCGCCGUCGGGAGGUACGGCCGCGAACGUUAAACGUACAAGUAGAAGUUAGACGGCGUGAGACGUGCCGACGACGACGACGAGGGAGAGG
Molecule: ribosomal RNA, 603 nt
Filed under: uncultured bacterium
Lineage: Bacteria
Description: bacterial SSU rRNA
Rfam family: Bacterial small subunit ribosomal RNA (bases 1-518)
Source: RNAcentral